RNAcentral lists this ribosomal RNA (253 nucleotides) under uncultured bacterium. RNAcentral describes it as "partial 16S ribosomal RNA". It matches the Rfam family "Bacterial small subunit ribosomal RNA", at positions 524 to 776 of the family's 1533-position model. The record is from RNAcentral.
UACAGAGGUCCCGAGCGUUGUUCGGAUUCAUUGGGCGUAAAGGGUGCGUAGGCGGCGGGGCAAGUCUGAUGUGAAAUCCCGGGGCUCAACCCCGGAACUGCAUUGGAUACUGCCUUGCUCGAGUACUGGAGAGGGAACUGGAAUUUACGGUGUAGCAGUGAAAUGCGUAGAUAUCGUAAGGAAGGCCAGUGGCGAAGGCGAGUUUCUGGACAGUAACUGACGCUGAGGCACGCAGGCCAGGGGAGCAAACGGG